Molecule: ribosomal RNA, 497 nt
Filed under: uncultured bacterium
Lineage: Bacteria
Description: partial 16S ribosomal RNA
Rfam family: Bacterial small subunit ribosomal RNA
Source: RNAcentral
GACGAACGCUGGCGGCGUGCCUAAUACAUGCAAGUAGAACGCUGAAGAGAGGAGCUUACUCUUCUUGGAUGAGUUGCGAACGGGUGAGUAACGCGUAGGUAACCUGCCUUGUAGCGGGGGAUAACUAUUGGAAACGAUAGCUAAUACCGCAUAACAAUGGAUGACACAUGUCAUUUAUUUGAAAGGGGCAAUUGCUCGACUACAAGAUGGACCUGCGUUGUAUUAGCUAGUAGGUGAGGUAAUGGCUCACCUAGGCGACGAUACAUAGCCGACCUGAGAGGGUGAUCGGCCACACUGGGACUGAGACACGGCCCAGACUCCUACGGGAGGCAGCAGUAGGGAAUCUUCGGCAAUGGGGGCAACCCUGACCGAGCAACGCCGCGUGAGUGAAGAAGGUUUUCGGAUCGUAAAGCUCUGUUGUAAGUCAAGAACGGGUGUGAGAGUGGAAAGUUCACACUGUGACGGUAGCUUACCAGAAAGGGACGGCUAACUACGUG